This 201-nucleotide long non-coding RNA is filed under the name Brassica napus (rape). Its description in RNAcentral is "long non-coding RNA (BNAP_LNC023457)". The record is from RNAcentral. Lineage: Eukaryota; Viridiplantae; Streptophyta; Magnoliopsida; Brassicales; Brassicaceae.
AUUUUGCGAUUUUGGUUUUGGCUCAGGGUGUUUAGAGUUUCGUGCUGAUAAUGUGUUAUAAAAGUAAUGGAAAAGUCUAUAUUUAUUCAUAACAUAGAAGUUCACCGUCAUAGAUAAAUGGAAAGAUUACAAAUCAUAAUCUCUUGAUUACGUUUCGGUGGUUUGCCGGCAAUGAGUCCAGUGAAUCGGGCUCCAGUUCCG